GUCCCUACGGGACGCAGCAGUGAGGAAUAUUGGUCAAUGGGCGGAAGCCUGAACCAGCCAAGUCGCGUGAGGGAAGAAGGCCCUGCGGGUCGCAGACCUCUUUGGACGGGGAGCAAGGCCGCCGACGUGUCGGCGGAAGGAGAGUACCCGUAGAACAAGCAUCGGCUAACCCCGUGCCAGCAGCCGCGGUAAUACGGAGGAUGCGAGCGUUAUCCGGAUUUAUUGGGUUUAAAGGGUGCGUAGGCGGACUGGAAAGUCAGCGGUAAAAUCGAGAGGCUCAACCUCUUUCCGCCGUUGAAACUGUU
Molecule: ribosomal RNA, 305 nt
Filed under: uncultured bacterium
Lineage: Bacteria
Description: bacterial SSU rRNA
Rfam family: Bacterial small subunit ribosomal RNA
Source: RNAcentral